CGAAUUCGUUUCUACGGGUGACA
RNAcentral lists this microRNA (23 nucleotides) under Ptychodera flava. RNAcentral describes it as "Pfl-Mir-10-P1_3p* (star (passenger))". The record is from RNAcentral. Lineage: Eukaryota; Metazoa; Hemichordata; Enteropneusta; Ptychoderidae.